Molecule: ribosomal RNA, 91 nt
Filed under: Nematostella vectensis (starlet sea anemone)
Lineage: Eukaryota; Metazoa; Cnidaria; Anthozoa; Actiniaria; Edwardsiidae
Source: RNAcentral
CGGUUCUCGUCCGAUCACCGAAGUUAAGCUCAGUAGGGCGCGGUAAGUACUUGGAUGGGUGACCGCUUCGGAAUACCUUGUGCUGUAGGCA